AUUUGACCUCAAAUGCAGGUAGGAAGUA
This 28-nucleotide ribosomal RNA is filed under the name Gymnopus foetidus. Its description in RNAcentral is "partial large subunit ribosomal RNA". Lineage: Eukaryota; Fungi; Basidiomycota; Agaricomycetes; Agaricales; Omphalotaceae. The record is from RNAcentral.